AGUGAACGCUGGCGGUAGGCCUAACACAUGCAAGUCGAACGGCAGCACAGUAAGAGCUUGCUCUUACGGGUGGCGAGUGGCGGACGGGUGAGGAAUACAUCGGAAUCUACUUUUUCGUGGGGGAUAACGUAGGGAAACUUACGCUAAUACCGCAUACGACCUACGGGUGAAAGCAGGGGAUCUUCGGACCUUGCGCGAUUGAAUGAGCCGAUGUCGGAUUAGCUAGUUGGCGGGGUAAAGGCCCACCAAGGCGACGAUCCGUAGCUGGUCUGAGAGGAUGAUCAGCCACACUGGAACUGAGACACGGUCCAGACCCCUACGGGAGGCAGCAGUGGGGAAUAUUGGACAAUGGGCGCAAGCCUGAUCCAGCCAUACCGCGUGGGUGAAGAGGGCCUUCGGGUUGUAAAGCCCUUUUGUUGGGAAAGAAAAGCAGCAGGUUAAUACCCCGCUGUUCUGACGGUACCCAAAGAAUAAGCACCGGCUAACUUCGUG
This 492-nucleotide ribosomal RNA is filed under the name uncultured bacterium. RNAcentral's name for it is "partial 16S ribosomal RNA". It matches the Rfam family "Bacterial small subunit ribosomal RNA", at positions 29 to 507 of the family's 1533-position model. The record is from RNAcentral.